ACGGGGGGCAGCAGUGAGGAAUAUUGGUCAAUGGACGGAAGUCUGAACCAGCCAAGUCGCGUGCGGGAGGAAGGCCCUACGGGUCGUAAACCGCUUUUGUACGGGGAUAAAGUCACCCACGUGUGGGUGUUUGUAGGUACCGUAAGAAUAAGGAUCGGCUAACUCCGUGCCAGCAGCCGCGGUAAUACGGAAGGUCCAGGCGUUAUCCGGAUUUAUUGGGUUUAAAGGGAGCGUAGGCGGGCCUUUAAGUCAGUGGUAAAAGCGUGUGGCUCAACCAUACCACGCCAUUGAAACUGGAGGCCUUGAGUGCACACAGGGAUGCUGGAAUUCGUCGUGUAGCGGUGAAAUGCUUAGAUAUGACGAAGAACUCCGAUCGCGAAGGCAGGUGUCCGGGGUGUAACUGACGCUGAGGCUCGAAAGUGCGGGUAUCAAACAGGAUUAGAUACCCUGGUA
Molecule: ribosomal RNA, 453 nt
Filed under: uncultured Alloprevotella sp.
Lineage: Bacteria; Pseudomonadati; Bacteroidota; Bacteroidia; Bacteroidales; Prevotellaceae
Description: partial 16S ribosomal RNA
Rfam family: Bacterial small subunit ribosomal RNA
Source: RNAcentral